Molecule: non-coding RNA, 110 nt
Organism: Acanthosepion pharaonis
Lineage: Eukaryota; Metazoa; Mollusca; Cephalopoda; Sepiida; Sepiidae
Source: the annotation of a GenBank genome assembly
UGGCCACGCCCUCUUGAAAUGCAGGUUCCCGUACGAUCACCGAAAUUAAGCAUCGUUGAGCCUGGUCAUUACCAAGAUGGGUGACCACUUGGGAAAACCAAGGACUGUAA